UUAUCUGGAGCGCUCGCCAUUUCAUGAAAUUCCCCGAGCCGAUAUCAAUACCCUAGGGAAGGCAAUCUGUUUGGUCGGUGCGCAUACCCACCCUGAGUGGGCAGCCUAAGAUCAGGCGUGUUUUCCCGCCUUGAACGUAACGGUUCAAGGGUCUUCUUGAUUAGCGGCGCUCUGGAGCU
Molecule: non-coding RNA, 179 nt
Filed under: marine eukaryotic metagenome
Description: 6S / SsrS RNA
Rfam family: 6S / SsrS RNA
About the family: E. coli 6S RNA was the first non coding RNA to be sequenced, but its function was unknown until recently. It consists of 184 nucleotides that fold into an extended hairpin structure with a large single-stranded internal bulge. The 6S RNA specifically associates with RNA polymerase holoenzyme containing the sigma70 specificity factor.
Source: RNAcentral